CUGAAGUGGGUUGUGUUUGAUCAUUGUGUUUAAUGCUAUUAUUGUUGCUUCUCUCUGAUCGCUUGCUUGAUUUUCCAGUGCAGGGAAAACACCCCAUAUUCUUAUUAUUCUUAUAAUUAUUGUUCCUCCUAUGAUUAUUAUUAUCAAAUUCAACAAAAAUAAAAAAUAAAAAAUAAAUUCUCUCUCUUUCUUUCUUCUUUUCUUCUUUGUCUGUCUACAGAGAAAGAGAAAAUAAAGACGCAGAAACUGUUUAAAGAGAGAGAGAGAGACACACAGACAGAGG
This 283-nucleotide unclassified non-coding RNA is filed under the name Hevea brasiliensis (rubber tree). The record is from RNAcentral. Lineage: Eukaryota; Viridiplantae; Streptophyta; Magnoliopsida; Malpighiales; Euphorbiaceae.